This 670-nucleotide ribosomal RNA is filed under the name uncultured Bacteroidota bacterium. RNAcentral describes it as "bacterial SSU rRNA". It matches the Rfam family "Bacterial small subunit ribosomal RNA", at positions 770 to 1453 of the family's 1533-position model. Lineage: Bacteria; Pseudomonadati; Bacteroidota. The record is from RNAcentral.
GAACAGGAUUAGAUACCCUGGUAGUCCACGCUGUAAACGAUGAUCACUAGCUGUUGGCGAUACAUAGUCAGCGGCAAAGCGAAAGCAUUAAGUGAUCCACCUGGGGAGUACGCCGGCAACGGUGAAACUCAAAGGAAUUGACGGGGGCCCGCACAAGCGGAGGAACAUGUGGUUUAAUUCGAUGAUACGCGAGGAACCUUACCUGGGCUUAAAUAGAGAGUGCAUGAGUGGGAAACCAUUCUUUCCUUCGGGACUCUCUUCAAGGUGCUGCAUGGUUGUCGUCAGCUCUUGCCGUGAGGUGUCGGGUUGAGUCCCAUAACGAGCGCAACCCUUAUCGUUAGUUGCCAUCAGUUCGGCUGGGGACUCUAACGAAACUGCCGGUGUAAACCGUGAGGAAGGUGGGGAUGACGUCAAAUCAGCACGGCCCUUAUGUCCAGGGCUACACACGUGUUACAAUGGUCGAUACAAAGGGCAGCUACCAGGCAACUGGAUGCUAAUCUCAAAAGUCGGUCUUAGUUCGGAUUGGAGUCUGCAACUCGACUUCAUGAAGCUGGAUUCGCUAGUAAUCGCGCAUCAGCCACGGCGCGGUGAAUACGUUCCCGGGCCUUGUACACACCGCCCGUCAAGCCAUGGAAGCUGGGGGUACCUGAAGUACGUAACCGCAAGGAGC